Molecule: ribosomal RNA, 270 nt
Filed under: uncultured bacterium
Lineage: Bacteria
Description: partial 16S ribosomal RNA
Rfam family: Bacterial small subunit ribosomal RNA
Source: RNAcentral
CCGGCGACCGGCGCACGGGUGAGUAAUACGUAUGAAACCUGCCCGUAGCAGGGGGAUAAGCGGAAGAAAUUCCGUCUAAUACCGCGUAACAACCCAUGGAGGCAUCUCUGUGGGUUUAAAGGAAGCGAUUCCGGCUACGGAUGGUCAUGCGUCGCAUUAGCUUGUUGGCGGGGUAACGGCCCACCAAGGCGACGAUGCGUAGGGGUUCUGAGAGGAAGGUCCCCCACACUGGUACUGAGACACGGCCCAGACUCCUACGGGAGGCAGCAG